AUCAGUGAUAUUUCGAAAACUGAACCAGGAAUCAAGAAUCAGAACACCAGAAGAAAUUGAAGAAGAUGAAAUAAAACAAAUACACAACAAGGAAUUAGUACACGUUUUCUCUCAAAUUUGUAUGUUCAUUUGGAUGCUACUCCUUUGUUUCUGUGCAGUUAUACGAAUAAGCCUAUUCGGAGGACUGUACUACUUUCUGUUUCUUUCUUUUCUAACGUACUGGGCAAUGAAUAAACGUUUUGGUAGAGCGUGCGCUAAAAUAGUUGGAUGUAUUUCAUCGAUUAUUUUUGUACAUAUAACACUGCUAUAUGCUUACCAAUUUCAGCCUGUUCAGGAUGAAGCCAAUGUUCCUCAUAGACUAAUCAGGAUAUUGCAGGUGCAUCCAUUUAGAAAAACAGCCAGUUGUAAUGAUCCCAGAAUAUUUUUAUGGAUACCUCACCGAGGCAUCACAAAUUUGCUACCAGCUGCCCUUUAUGCGCUCUAUUCGCUCUCAGUUCUCCUAGCACGUCAUAUAUUGAA
Molecule: long non-coding RNA, 519 nt
Organism: Sitophilus oryzae (rice weevil)
Lineage: Eukaryota; Metazoa; Arthropoda; Insecta; Coleoptera; Curculionidae
Exons: 3
Source: RefSeq, a predicted model, not a curated record